AGCAAGCAAGACACUGGUGAAGGAAACUUAUACCAUUUAGCUGCUAACAUAAGGUAGUGGGGUUGAGAUACCCAUUUUCUAGUUCUAUCACCCGAUUUGAUCAGGUUUAUCCGAGAGAGAGAGAGAGAGAGAGAGAGAGAGANGUAGUUACGGAAGAGAGAGAGAGAGAGAGAGAGAGGAGAAUGCUCUUCUAAUUAAGCCAGUCAACAGUAAAAUAGUUUGAGCAUGUGUGAUAAAAGAGCAUGUAUACGAAAAUUGAAAGACUAACAAAUAUAAAUAUAAUAAAUAAAU
Molecule: long non-coding RNA, 291 nt
Filed under: Salvia miltiorrhiza (redroot sage)
Lineage: Eukaryota; Viridiplantae; Streptophyta; Magnoliopsida; Lamiales; Lamiaceae
Description: long non-coding RNA (SMIL_LNC002871)
Source: RNAcentral